UAUUAUUAACCCACAAAGGGGUGUGGUCAAAUGAUUUGCUGCUGAUAAAUAGGCAGAACACAAACUCAUCAUUACACUAUUGUCUUUCUACAUUAAAUCAACCUCUUCAUCCUUCUUAUCAUUCAGUUAGGCCUCAUUUGGGGACGACAGGUAGCCUAGUGGUUAGAGUGGAGGGGCGGCAGGUAGCCUAGUGGUUAGAGUGGAGGGACCGUCAGGUAGCCUAGUGGUUAGAGUGGAGGGACGGCAGGAAGCCUAGUGGUUAGAGUGUAGAGGCGGCAGGUAGCCUAGUGGUUAGAGUGGAGGGGCGGCAGGAAGCCUAGUGGUUAGAGUGUAGAGGCGGCAGGUAGCCUAGUGGUUAGAGUGGAGGGGCGGCAGGUAGCCUAGUGGUUAGAGUGUAGAGGUGGCAGGUAGCCUAGUGGUUAGAGUGUAGAGGUGGCAGGUAGUCUAGUGGUUAGAGUGUAGAGGCGGCAGGUAGUCUAGUGGUUCGAGUGUAGAGGCGGCAGGUAGCCAAAUGGUUAGAGUGUUGAGCCAGUACUUGAAAGGUUGCUGGAUCGAAUCCCC
RNAcentral lists this long non-coding RNA (561 nucleotides) under Salmo salar (Atlantic salmon). RNAcentral describes it as "lncRNA (ENSSSAG00000087414.1)". The record is from RNAcentral. Lineage: Eukaryota; Metazoa; Chordata; Actinopteri; Salmoniformes; Salmonidae.